AUUGAACGCUGGCGGCAUGCUUUACACAUGCAAGUCGAACGGGGUUGGGAGCUUGCUUCCAAUCUAGUGGCGAACGGGUGAGUAAUACAUCGGAACGUACCGUGUAGUGGGGGAUAACGUAGCGAAAGUUACGCUAAUACCGCAUACGAUCCACGGAUGAAAGCAGGGGACCUUCGGGCCUUGUGCUAUACGAGCGGCCGAUGUCUGAUUAGCUAGUUGGUGAGGUAAAGGCUCACCAAGGCGACGAUCAGUAGCGGGUCUGAGAGGAUGAUCCGCCACACUGGGACUGAGACACGGCCCAGACUCCUACGGGAGGCAGCAGUGGGGAAUUUUGGACAAUGGGCGCAAGCCUGAUCCAGCCAUGCCGCGUGCGGGAAGAAGGCCUCGGUGUAACGCUUUGUCAGGGAAGAAACGCUCCAGGCUAAUA
This 427-nucleotide ribosomal RNA is filed under the name uncultured bacterium. RNAcentral's name for it is "bacterial SSU rRNA". It matches the Rfam family "Bacterial small subunit ribosomal RNA", at positions 30 to 464 of the family's 1533-position model. The record is from RNAcentral.